This 471-nucleotide ribosomal RNA is filed under the name uncultured bacterium. RNAcentral describes it as "bacterial SSU rRNA". It matches the Rfam family "Bacterial small subunit ribosomal RNA", at positions 328 to 795 of the family's 1533-position model. The record is from RNAcentral.
UACCCAGACUCCUACGGGAGGCAGCAGUGAGGAAUAUUGGUCAAUGGGCGGAAGCCUGAGCCAGCCAAGUCGCGUGAGGGAAGAAGGCCCUGCGGGUCGCAGACCUCUUUGGACGGGGAGCAAGGCCGCCGACGUGUCGGCGGAAGGAGAGUACCCGUAGAACAAGCAUCGGCUAACUCCGUGCCAGCAGCCGCGGUAAUACGGAGGAUCCAAGCGUUAUCCGGAUUUAUUGGGUUUAAAGGGUGCGUAGGCGGUUUUAUAAGUUAGAGGUGAAAUCUCGGGGCUCAACUCCGAAAUUGCCUCUAAUACUGUAGGACUAGAGAGUAGUUGCGGUAGGCGGAAUGUAUGGUGUAGCGGUGAAAUGCUUAGAGAUCAUACAGAACACCGAUUGCGAAGGCAGCUUACCAAACUAUAUCUGACGUUGAGGCACGAAAGCGUGGGGAGCAAACAGGAUUAGAUACCCUCGUAAAC